Papaver somniferum (opium poppy) is the source of this 1496-nucleotide long non-coding RNA. RefSeq lists it as uncharacterized. The transcript has 2 exons. Lineage: Eukaryota; Viridiplantae; Streptophyta; Magnoliopsida; Ranunculales; Papaveraceae. The record is from RefSeq and is a predicted model, not a curated record.
UGUCUUUCUUCUUCUUUCUUCUUCUCUGUUCUUCUUCUCCUCCUCUCAGUGGUUUGAGCUUGAGUCUCUCGAAAUUAGAUCUUAGAAUCUUGUAGUUGUUGAGUUGAGGGAGAAGGUGAUGCUGCUGCUGUCGGUUGAGUUCUGGAAAAGCAGAAUUCUGGUUUUCUGUUCUUCCCUAAACCAACCAGAAGUUAGGGUUCUUGUGAAUUAGGGUGUUUAAAUCGGAAUCAGCGGAUUAAGAAGAUGAUUUGUUUAGAGGUGAUUGAAGUUGGGUGUUGAUUUUAAGGUUCUGCAAAGAAGAAAUGGAAUCUGGGGUUUGAGUUUGAGUUUGUAUUGGGAAUUAACAGAAUAAUAUUGAGAGGAAGGUGAAUUAGUGAAUUGGGAUCGCUGUUAGUAGUGUAGAACUAUAGUUUGUGACAAGAAGACUGUUUCUACUGAACUGGUGUUUCUAGUCGUGUUGAAAGUUGCAAAUGGAUGGGUUGUGUUUGUUGAGUUGACUGUAUUACAAUUACAGAUGGCAUGUGAAGUUGUUAGUUACUGGAUUUGAAUUACGAGACUGCUGACUUGAGAAGAAUACAAAUGAAGCUGAGACUCUGGUAGUGAUAUGGUGUAUGAAUUGUGUAAAGUGGUGGUGGUGGUGAUUUAGUAAAGCAUUAGAUUUUGGAGAUGAUUGAACAGGUUUUGUGGUUGUGAAGUUGAAAUUGUGUUCGGUUUAGUGAUUUACUGGAUUUAGGAGGUAAUGGAGUUGAACUUGUGGUGUUGUGGAUUGAAGAUAUUAUAUGAAGGGGAGGUUGUCUUGAAUGAAUGAAGUUUUAGAUGAAUGCUAGGGUAAUUGCAGCUGGUGGUGAUAUUGUGAAGUGUUAACUGGAUUAGGUCACUAUGGUUGUGACUGAAUAGAGUGGAAGUGGGAGUAAUGCAGAUAUGAAGACAAUGUUGUUGUGAUGCUGUUGUGUAGCUGCAGUGAUGUUAUUGAAUGCAGGGAAGAUAUUUAAGGUCUAUUGAUAGGGGAACAAUGAUGAUUGGGUUAAGUUGCAGCUAAAGAUUAUGGUUAUCUAGUUAGAUAUGGUAUUGUCUAUGUGUUUGUGACUGCAAGUGUUGGAGCUGAUUUAUUGGUGAACUGCAGUGGUGUCUGGUGAAGCUGAUAGACUUUGUAUAAGAGGAACUGGUGUUACAGGAUUGUUGAAAUGUUGUUAGUAGAAGCUACAUUGAGUUGCAGGCGGAGCAGACUUAUUUUGGAUUACAAGGAAUGACUAAUUGAUGGUGGGAUUGUGACUUACAGGAUUGAAGCGAAAUUCAGCAUGGGAAGGUGAUUGUGUUGUUGAGAAUGAGAACUGGUGGUGUAUGAAUAUGUUGAGAAGAACUGAAGUCAAUGUUGUUAUUGUUGAAAGAUAGUUAGAAAUGGAAGUAGAAGUUAGUUGUAGAUUAUAUAAUUGUGUAUAGUUAGAUUUGGUGUAUGUAACUUUUUCGAUUUUAGCUUUGAGUUUCUUUUAUUUUCA